AUGGAAGUUCUUGCCUUGAUGCUAGUGGUUGCUUACUGACCAGGUGGUGACUGCUGAAGGUGAGUGUGACUGUGGGAAUUUCUUAAAGUAAGACAACAGUCAAGUUUGCCAUAUUGACUGACUCUUCCUCUCAUGAAUGAUUUCCCUGUAACAUGCAAUCUGUUUGACAAUGUCUUACCCACAGCAGAGUCUCUCCUCUCAAACCCUCCUGCUGCUUUAUCAACUAAGUUGAUGUCAUAUUCUAGAUCCUUUGCUGUCAUUUCAACAAUCCUCACAGCAUCUUCAUCAGGAGUAGAUGCCAUCU
Long non-coding RNA from Lutra lutra (Eurasian river otter), 304 nucleotides. RefSeq lists it as uncharacterized. The record is from RefSeq and is a predicted model, not a curated record. The transcript is spliced from 2 exons. NCBI's taxonomy places the organism in Eukaryota, Metazoa, Chordata, Mammalia, Carnivora, Mustelidae.